Molecule: long non-coding RNA, 1636 nt
Filed under: Homo sapiens (human)
Lineage: Eukaryota; Metazoa; Chordata; Mammalia; Primates; Hominidae
Description: HSALNT0163029
Source: RNAcentral
GCUGAGCACAAUGUAGGCGCUCUAAGACUAAUGAAAGAAUCAAAUCAGGUGUGUGAGUGAUUCAGCAAGAAGUUGAAUUAGAGCCAGCUGCUUCGUCUGAGUUGGGUUAAGUCAGAGGGGGAGGGUUGAUAUUGGGUAAUCAGAACAAAACGAGCUGGAGGGCCAGCCACCUGCUUAGUCGGAGUAAGAAUGCCUGCAGAGACCUGGACCAGAGUGGGCAGAAUGGAGGCCUAUUAUAGGAGACAUAUUGCUCACCCUUCACGAGAGGUCAAACACCUGAGUUAAAUUUUGGAAAGCUUCUAUAUACCUAUCAGGAUCUUCAGAAAAUCAGACUAAGCCUCCUUUUAUUUGCCUAAGGACCUGCAAUGAGAAGGGAACUUGAACCCUAGUGGCAUCACCUCCAUUGGGAAUUUCCUAUAGGGGGCCUAAAUAGUGUUCCUUGGAGAGAAAAUUACCCUGGGAAUGAAUAAACAAGAGCAAUGCAAAUGAUAUCCACGACUGUUACAGAUGCUUCGUGGAGGUUCAAAAAGACUACAGAUCAAGGCCAGUGACCUUCUACACAUGGUGGACACUCCAGCCUCUGCUCAAUCUCCAUCCACACUUAAAGGAAAUAGCCAACUCUUGGCCAACCUUCAGGCCUGGGAAGAGGCUCAAGCAGACACUGAAGACGGACUUAAGGCUAUACGAUGUCCGGAAGUGGUGGGUUCUUGGUCUCACUGACUUCAAAAAUGAAGACGAAGACGUGGACUCUGGCGUACACAGAAAUGCUCUCCAUACCUUGCCACUGCUGCUGGGAAGGAACAGGGGAGGAGUGACAUUGAGAUUCAAGACUAUUUUUCCUACCUCUUCAGUGCCUCUUUCAGCCAUAUGAAGUUAAAACCAGGUAAUGUGAGUGCUGAUCUGAUUUCUGAUUCAUUUGAAGGUGCUUUUUCUAUGUGUAGAUAGUUGUUAAAUUGAUAUCUUUGGGGGGUGACAAGCAGUAAAGCCUUCUAUUCUGCCAUCUGGCUCUACUCCUGUCUCUCAAUAAUUGCUUAUGGAUUAGGAGCUGAGGCACAGCUUUGGUGGAUCAUUUCCUCAAAAUCUUAAACAGUUAUAAUUAAGCUGUUGGUGAGAAUUGUAGGGUCAUGUAAGGCUCAGCAUCCUCUCCCACACUCAUAGGGGGUCCUAUUAGUAGAAUUCAGCUUCUUGCAGCUGUAGGACUGAGACCCUCAGUCUCCAGAGGCUGCCCCUCUGCACAGGCAGUUCACAACAUGGCUGUUUGCUUUCAUCCUUGAACCCUGCAGGAAAGUAAUCUUUCAGUCUCUUUUAAGGGACUCCCCAGAUUAGGUCAAACCAAUGCAAAAUAAUCUGUGGUUGAAUAACUAAAAGCCAACUAAUAUGGACCUUUAUUGAAUCUCCAAAAUUUCUUCACCUUUGCAAUGUAACUUAAUCACAAGAGAGAAACACAUCAUUUUCACAGGUCUCACCCGCACUUAAUUAUGGGAGGGGAUUAUAUAUAAGGUGUAUGCCAUGGGUUAUUUUGGGACCAGCUUAGAAUUCUGUGCACAGACUGUUUUGCCAUAUACCAAAAGAUUAGCCCAGAGUCAUUUAAAUUUUUUGGGGGGUGGAUAGGGGGAAUAUCGGUGAUGGAAAGAAC